GAGCGGAAAGGCCCUUCGGGGUACUCGAGCGGCGAACGGGUGAGUAACACGUGAGCAACCUGCCCCUAGCUCUGGGAUAGCUCCGGGAAACCGGGAUUAAUACCAGAUACGACCACUUUAGACAUCUGCUGUGGUGGAAAGGAUUCCGGCUAGGGAUGGGCUCGCGGCCUAUCAGCUUGUUGGUGGGGUAACGGCCUACCAAGGCGACGACGGGUAGCCGGCCUGAGAGGGCGACCGGCCACACUGGGACUGAGACACGGCCCAGACUCCUACGGGAGGCAGCAGUGGGGAAUAUUGCGCAAUGGGCGAAAGCCUGACGCAGCGACGCCGCGUGCGGGAUGAAGGCCUUCGGGUUGUAAACCGCUUUCAGCAGGGACGAAGCGAAAGUGACGGUACCUGCAGAAGAAGCGCCGGCUAACUACGUG
RNAcentral lists this ribosomal RNA (425 nucleotides) under uncultured bacterium. RNAcentral describes it as "bacterial SSU rRNA". It matches the Rfam family "Bacterial small subunit ribosomal RNA", at positions 64 to 507 of the family's 1533-position model. The record is from RNAcentral.